UGCGGAAGUCGCCCCUCUCCACCACGUACAUGCGGCCGCGGUAGUUGGGCUCCUCGUAGAGGACCCACCUGAGAGCCAGGGGAACCGCAGAGCCUUGAGCCACCUUGGAGCUCUUGUGGACAUCCCGAAAGGACGAGGGAGCUGACUGGGCAUGACAGCUAAUUCUCUGGCCCUCACCUGCAGCUCCUGGGGGAAAGCGACAGAGCAAGGGGUCUCCUGAGAGCUGACUCACUGGUUAAGAACACUGGCUGUUCUCCCAGAGGACUCAGGAGGUGGUAAAGGGUCCCUGCUUCACUGCCUGCCAGAUCCCAGAGAGGGCUCCUGGGACCUAAGGCAUCACCACUUGGGAAACCGGACAAGGUUUCAUGUCACAGAAGAAUUAAGGUCACCGAAGACAAAAGACAAGCACAUCUUGGACCCCAACACAGAAGCCCACCAUCUUGUCCCCCACCUCGUGACCACUACUGAGCCUGGCUCUUCCCAGGAA
Mesocricetus auratus (golden hamster) is the source of this 487-nucleotide long non-coding RNA. RefSeq lists it as uncharacterized. The record is from RefSeq and is a predicted model, not a curated record. NCBI's taxonomy places the organism in Eukaryota, Metazoa, Chordata, Mammalia, Rodentia, Cricetidae. The transcript has 3 exons.